RNAcentral lists this ribosomal RNA (292 nucleotides) under Paralomis granulosa. Its description in RNAcentral is "partial 28S ribosomal RNA". It matches the Rfam family "Eukaryotic large subunit ribosomal RNA", at positions 52 to 311 of the family's 3401-position model. Lineage: Eukaryota; Metazoa; Arthropoda; Malacostraca; Decapoda; Lithodidae. The record is from RNAcentral.
GGAGGAAAAGAAACUAACACGGAUUCCCUCAGUAAGGGCGACUGAAAUGGGAAAAGCCCAGCGCAUAAGCUCGCUUUGCCCUUCACCGGGCGCGAGCGGUGUUGCGUUUCGGAGGGUCCGGCACGCCGCCUUACGACGCCUAAGUCAUGCUUGAAAGCGGCCACUACCCAUUGAGGGUGAAAGGCCCGUCUGGCGGAGCCCGUGAGGGCAUAAGUGAGGCGGUCGGAAAGGACCUUUCCGUAGAGUCGGGUUGCUUGAAAGUGCAGCCCAAAGCAGGUGGUAAACUCCUUCU